AUUAAUCAACACAAAUUAAUCAAAGGUUUGUCUCUGUAGAACUAACCCAUAUGACUUGUCCAUUAUUUGAACUAUUUCCUGAAGAGGACUCCUUCUCUAUGACCUUCAACAAAGUCGGAAGUCCACUCUCUCCAACCGUUUCAAGAACAGUAAAUCUACCCAAGGUCAAACCAGCAGGUAACCCUCUCUUUUCAGCAUAAUCUUUCAACAUGUUAACUGCUCUCUCCAUAGGAUUCUGAGCAAUACCGUGAAAUUUCACGGACCCUGUGACAUGAAUAGUCACAGAUUUUGGCCUCUCUGAUCCCAUUUUCUUGUUCGAAAUACGGAAGGAUUUCUUAAUACUUGAUAGCUUCCACUAUCAAUUACCUGUUCACACCAUUUACAACAGCCUCUUUAAACUUGACCAACCAUUUCAACACGCAUUAGUACAUUAGUAAAAAUUGACCAAAGCAAUUAAUAACGAGUCGUCCCAUGCAUAUUACCUCUUGAAUUUGGAUAAACAAUCAAAAUGAGCAAAGCAACAUCACAACAUUUCAAGUCAAAACACCAAGAAAACGUUAAGAAACAUUCUCAGUGCUUAUACAACAAUUGACCAAAGACAAAACUGAUUAAACAUAUAUUCACCUUUUUACUCUUUUCCCCCUUAUACAACAAUGGUCACAAAUAUCUUACAUGAUAAAACAGUUAAUUCACAAGUACCUCUCACGAUGAAAAGUUUAAAAUGAUUCAAAUUAACUGAUGGUUAAGUUCUUGGCUUGCAUAAAAUUAUAUAUUAACCUUGUACUAGAUGGUACUUUUACAUAACCUUCUCCAACAAAAAAAUGGGUAGAGCACACAAUCAGUGAAGGAGAUUACCUCCACACAGAACGUCCUUUCAACCAAGAAUGGGUCUGAGAAGAGACAGACCUAGAACGAGAUCUUGUACGCUUUGGCGAUUUAGCUUUAGGAUAUUUGCUGCUAGGAAAGAGAAUAGCAAUGAUAUCCAUGGAAUUAGUUGAGGUGCGCAACAGCUGGUUCAGACACUACGGUAUAAAAGAAACACUUAGAAGAUAUUGUCAUGCGAUUUGUAAAGUUCAAUGACCAACUAACAGACAUAUUUACCAAAUCUCUAGAAGGUUCUCGAGAUAGUUAUAUAUAUAACAAGCUCAGCAUAUAUAAUGUGAAUGCACCGGCUUGAAGCAGAGCAUCAGAUAUGCUAGUACUAAAACUGUAAAUAUUAAUUUUCCACAGUGGACAAGUAUGAAAAAACUUAUUAUAAUCCGAAAGAUAUAAAUAGAUAGAAUCGUAAGGCAUAAAAGCUGCCUACUCCCAUAAACUUUCUCCCCAGUUUUAAUUGCUCAAUUUUCGAUCAAUAGGAGGCCACAACUAAUAGGCUUUAUGAAAGACUUAAUGAUAUAGCUGCAAGGAACCCGAGUUAGUAUUCAUUGGCAAAUGAAGAUUUAUAACACAAAUACCACUAAAACUACAGAGACGAGAGGGCAAUGUUUGACUAAACAUUUUCCUGAACAAAAGGGCAAAGAAAUAACCAAAAGUAACCAGAUGCAACUUCUACCUAGAAUGCAAGUUCGACAAAAUCUCUCUGUACGGAAGCAAGUGAAAAUACUCAACAGCUGGAGCAACCAACCAUCCAAUUGGCUUUUUCUUGAUUAAAGGACCCUGCAAACUACUCCAAAAAGCAGAUUCAGGGGAAAAUCGCCCAUCUUCGGCAUUGGAUCAAUAUUUUAUAGUACUGAAAAAAAUUUAAAACAAUAUUUCAUUUAUGCAAUGCAAAAUGCAGCAUUUCUAACAGAUCAUGUAAUUAAUAGCUAAGGAGAGAUCAGUUCCUUACAAAUUUCAC
RNAcentral lists this long non-coding RNA (1837 nucleotides) under Capsicum annuum. RNAcentral describes it as "long non-coding RNA (CANN_LNC018887)". The record is from RNAcentral. Lineage: Eukaryota; Viridiplantae; Streptophyta; Magnoliopsida; Solanales; Solanaceae.